This 253-nucleotide ribosomal RNA is filed under the name uncultured bacterium. RNAcentral's name for it is "partial 16S ribosomal RNA". It matches the Rfam family "Bacterial small subunit ribosomal RNA", at positions 524 to 776 of the family's 1533-position model. The record is from RNAcentral.
UACGUAGGGUGCAAGCGUUGUCCGGAAUUAUUGGGCGUAAAGAGCUCGUAGGCGGUCUGUCGCGUCUGCUGUGAAAACUCAGGGCUUAACCCUGAGCUUGCAGUGGGUACGGGCAGACUAGAGUGCGGUAGGGGAGACUGGAAUUCCUGGUGUAGCGGUGAAAUGUGCAGAUAUCAGGAGGAACACCGGUGGCGAAGGCAGAUCUCUGGGCCGUAACUGACGCUGAGGAGCGAAAGCAUGGGGAGCGAACAGG